UGAAGCCUCAAAUCUGUCACACUAACCCC
Molecule: non-coding RNA, 29 nt
Filed under: Mus musculus (house mouse)
Lineage: Eukaryota; Metazoa; Chordata; Mammalia; Rodentia; Muridae
Source: RNAcentral